GGACUACCGGGGUUUCUAAUCCCGUUUGCUCCCCUGGCUUUCGCGCCUCAGCGUCAGAAAAGGUCCAGUCGUGCGCUUUCGCCACCGGCGUUCCUUCCGAUAUCAACGCAUUUCACCGCUCCACCGGAAGUUCCCACGACCCCUACCGCCCUCAAGUCCACCAGUAUCCAAGGCACUUCUCCAGUUAAGCUGGAGGCUUUCACCCCGGACUUGGCAGACCGCCUACGCGCCCUUUAAGCCCAGUGAUUCCGAACAACGUUCGCACGGUUCGUCUUACCGCGGCUGCUGGCAC
RNAcentral lists this ribosomal RNA (292 nucleotides) under uncultured Planctomycetota bacterium. RNAcentral's name for it is "uncultured planctomycete partial 16S ribosomal RNA". The record is from RNAcentral. Lineage: Bacteria; Pseudomonadati; Planctomycetota.